Molecule: non-coding RNA, 3867 nt
Organism: Vicugna pacos (alpaca)
Lineage: Eukaryota; Metazoa; Chordata; Mammalia; Artiodactyla; Camelidae
Source: RefSeq, a predicted model, not a curated record
AUAAACUCUGUUCUGAACAUAGCUUGGGCCUCUGCACGGACUCCCUGGGCCAGGCCUGGCCCUGCCAGCCUUCUCUGCUGAGGCUGGAGACCUGGGGUCCCCAGGAUGACCGAGUCAGGGUCCUGGCCUGGCCCCCAGCUGCUCCCCAGGGAAGCCUGGGUGCCCGCUCCUCAGAACUUCACCUAAGGAAGGUCUCUGCCUCCCUGAGGUAGAGCCAGCGACCUGUGGCAAUGAGCACACAACUGAGGAACCUGUCCUUGUGAGAGAGCAUCCUUGAAAAAGUGACGUUUAAGCCAACAUCCAAAUGAUAUGUCAUGAGGAGCAGACAAGAUAAAAGGCCAGUCCUCCCGCCCGGCUUCACGGAGCCUCCUCUCUGAGCCAGGCACACAGCAGGGAAGAAACAGACACCUCUGCCCUCUUGGAGCUUAUAAUCGGGAUAUUUCCCCCCAGACGCUUGGCAGCCUGAAACCACUUCAUUCCAGAGUGCAGCUUCCCUGGGCAGCCCCUCUGUGCCAGGCCCUGUGCUGGGAGCCGACGACGGACAGACCAGGCCCAAUCCGCACCGCUGAGAAGCCCGCCAGCAGAGAAGGAAUGUGUGGGCAACUGAUGCUGACCAAGAGCAGAAUGAAUUCGGAGUACAUAGAUCUCUUGUCCUUCCCCUCCUCCUUCCCCUUGUCCCCACUCCAGGGCACCCAGCUAGGCUCCUACCAGGAACUGCUCCAUAAAGCUUGUCCUCUGGAUCACUGACUCAGGGCCUUCUGUGGCAGCAGCAGUGCCCAGAAUUUGGUGGCUCCAAACCAAACACACCGAACAGUUCCAGCUUAGCCACACUGAAGGGUGGACAGUUCUCUGACAGUUGAGCGCCCACCUCAAGCACCUGCUGCCUGUCUUUCCACUUUCUUUCUAAAGCCAUCGGAGCCUGCUGGGCUCAUAAGCAAGGGUGGUCCAGGAGCACAGAGGGAUGAACUCCCCUCUGGGGCACCCCACCACCACCCAAUGGGGGAUGGGAGCCAGUGGGUAACCAUUCCAGCCUUCCAUCUCUUAGGCAAACAGUUCUGGAGGUCCCAGGGGAGUAGAGACCCCCCCCAACCCUGCCAACAUUGGCUUCUCUGCUAGUGCUCCUUUAUGUCAGUUUUUCUGCCUCCUCUCUCUCCCCCUCCCCCUCUCUCCCCACCCCCUCCCUGCUUCCUGAGACCCCCUCCCAGAUACACCACAGGCACCCAAGUCCUGGUUUCAAGUUUGCUUUCAAAGGAACUCAAGCUAAAGAAGCCUUUCCGACUCCCACUUCCAUGCUCCCGGACACACUCUCUCUGGCCUGCCAAGCCCCUCUAGGAUUGCUCCGGACAGAUAGAGCCUCAUGACAAAGGAGCAGAGCCCAGUCUCAGCGGGGGGAGUGCGGACAAUGGGCCCCCUCCCAGCAGCUGUCCCUGCCUCCUCUCCAGCCUGACCACAGAUAGUGAGGCUGGGGGCCCGAUGGACGCAGAGUGGGGCUCAGCUCCACCACCGCCAUCCAUGUGACCUUGGACGGGUCAGUUCACCUCCCCGAGCCCCGUCUUGCCUGUCUGUCGAGUAAAGGCAAUAACAGCGUGUUGAAGACCUGUGAGAACUGAGUGAGAUCGUGCGAAGCAGGAAGCACGAUCCGGGCGGAAAAACGUGAGCCACUGUUUGUACGAACUUGGCCUCCCUAAACAGACCCGAUUCCUUGAAGGGUUCUUCCUGGAUGGUUGGAAACAUCAGACAAUAUUUCCGGCUGGCUGUUCUCCUGGGAGGGCCACACACCAGCAGAGGGAGGUGGGGAGGCCAGUGUGCUGCCCUUCCCUGCCCGGACCUCCUAGUUACCACCAGCGCAAGGGGUAUUGGGCCGUCUGAUCUGCAGAGGCCCUUCUAGACUAAGGAUUCUCAGUCUGUGGGCCAAAGUUAGGCCGAAGCAGAGGUCACCCCUGGCGGACUUAUUGGCAUGACUGUCAGCAUCUCCCUUUGCCUCAGCCAGACCAGUUCAAUUUGACACUGGUCUGUGGGUCCUCAGCAGCCCUCCCCUACCAAGUCAGGGAUUCCCUUUCUCUCCAGGAAUGCCCCACAAGUCACCCUCACUCCAGGCCUUGCCUCCAGCUGUUCCCCCUCCUCGUAAUGCCUUUGCUCUUCAUCUCUGAGCAAACUACACAUCCUGGGAGGGCCAGCGGCAAACCCGCAUCGUCUCCAUUCGGUCAGCCUUCUGAGAGGGCAGAGGCUGUGCAGGGCCCUGCACUGGGAGCAGGUCAGGGGUGGGGUCUGCUCAGCGUGUGCCGCGAUCAGUACCCCGCCCACAGGUACCUUGCCCUCUGUGCUGGAGGGGCUUUCUUCCUGGCCUGUCGCAUCCCGCCCUGCUGUUUCCUAUUUGCCUCUCAGGAGAGCACAGUGUGGGCCUUAGGGGCAUGGGCUCAGCGGUAAGACCCCUUGGCUUGUGUGCAAGCUCCCCACCCGUAUUGAGAUGAUCAUGGGCAAGUUAGGGGAGCCUCCCUGCACCUCAGUGUCCUCAUCUGUAAAGUGGGCAUAGGAUAGUACCUACUCCAUAGAGUUCUCAUGAGCAGUAAAUAGAUAAUCUAUGUAAAGCGCCAAGCAUUGCCCCCAGCAUAUCAUAGGGGUUCAACGUUACCCAGGUGCAAUGUUCAAACAGUGCUGUUGUGAGGACCCCAGCCCCUCUCCCCACUGGCCCCUGGGCUUCCCAAGGGCAGGGCUUUGGAGGCACGUGAAGGUACAGAAUGUGUGGUUGAGGACCACAUCAUGAAUGUGUGUUUGAUUGUUUCAUCAAUCCCUUGAGCCCCAUGGACUCCCAGGGAAGCCUAAAGGGAAGGGACCAGGACAGGUCAGUGUUGAUGUAUGGAGUGUGGAGCUUGGGGCAUCCUGGAGGAGUUCCUGGGCAUUUGGGGUGCCUGGUAAGCCCUGGGGUGGGGGCUACUGCUAAGGGCGAAGCAGCUUUGGCCACACUGGCCUCAUUCAGCAUCAAGGAGACUGAGGGAAUGACAUCAAGUGACAGGUGGCCCUGUCUCCUCCACAGGCUCCAGAGCUUCUUGGGUCCUCAGCUGGAUCGGAACCCCAGGCCACUGCAUCUGCCUGACUGCAGACCUAGACUGGAGGUGGAGAAUUCGGGAUGCUGCCGGGGAGGAGGCCUGGCCAGGGAGAUCUGGGAACCACACUACAGGGGAGACUUUGACCUGGAGAAAGGGUACUCCUAAAACAGGGUGACCAACUCAUCACCAGUUGCCUGAGGCUCUCCGGGUUUUCGCUUGGCAAGAGCUAAAACCCGGGAAGUCCCUCCGUUUCAGACAAAGCGGGACAGUUGGUCAGCCCGCUUCCACGCUGCUCUGUGUCCACCCUCCCCGCUCCCUGACUAGUCGCCUGCGCCUCCUGGGCCUGCGCCUCCCUGGAAACCGCCAUAGUCUCCUGGGAGGGCCCCCAGAGACCUUCCACCCCAGAAAGCUCCCGCUCCGGGGCCCACUCCAAUAGAAGGCUCUAACUGGCCAGAUGGAGUCUGCCGCACUGUGCUGUCAGGACCCUCUACAGCCGUAAUGAGAGACUGACAAAUGGGACUUCUCAGCUCACCCUGCCCACAGGCAGGCCGAUGUGCAGGGCCCUGCCAACGACGGCAGGCUCGGGGCCCGAGGCCGAGCGGCUCUGCCGCGCCAUCCUCAGAUAACUGGCGGGAGCGCCCAGCCAGGCUCAGGCUGCCCUCCGGCCCCCUCCUCUGCUGGCUCAGUGCCCGGUCCAGCAGGGGCCGACCAUCAAUAAUUGGGUCACCCCCACUCCCAUCCCCACCAUCACACUUCCACCAGUGAUAGCAUUUCAGCUGCAAUUAAAAAUUUCAAGUUGCAAUUAAAAAUUAAUUGGAAA